This 72-nucleotide transfer RNA is filed under the name Capra hircus (goat). It matches the Rfam family "tRNA". Rfam says of the family: Transfer RNA (tRNA) molecules are approximately 80 nucleotides in length. Their secondary structure includes four short double-helical elements and three loops (D, anti-codon, and T loops). The record is from Rfam by way of RNAcentral. RNAcentral also lists the same sequence under 1 other name. Lineage: Eukaryota; Metazoa; Chordata; Mammalia; Artiodactyla; Bovidae.
UCCCUGGUAGCUCAGACGGUAAAGCGUCUGCCUACAAUGCAGGAGACCCAGGUUCGAUCCCUGGGUUGGGAA